Molecule: ribosomal RNA, 527 nt
Filed under: uncultured bacterium
Lineage: Bacteria
Description: bacterial SSU rRNA
Rfam family: Bacterial small subunit ribosomal RNA
Source: RNAcentral
AAUAGAUACCCGGGUAGUCCACGCCGUAAACGAUGUCGACUUGGAGGUUGUUCCCUUGAAGAGUGGCUUCCGGAGCUAACGCGUUAAGUCGACCGCCUGGGGAGUACGGCCGCAAGGUUAAAACUCAAAUGAAUUGACGGGGGCCCGCACAAGCGGUGGAGCAUGUGGUUUAAUUCGAUGCAACGCGAAGAACCUUACCUACUCUUGACAUCCAGAGAACUUAGCAGAGAUGCUUUGGUGCCUUCGGGAACUCUGAGACAGGUGCUGCAUGGCUGUCGUCAGCUCGUGUUGUGAAAUGUUGGGUUAAGUCCCGCAACGAGCGCAACCCUUAUCCUUUGUUGCCAGCGGUUCGGCCGGGAACUCAAAGGAGACUGCCAGUGAUAAACUGGAGGAAGGUGGGGAUGACGUCAAGUCAUCAUGGCCCUUACGAGUAGGGCUACACACGUGCUACAAUGGCGUAUACAAAGAGAAGCGACCUCGCGAGAGCAAGCGGACCUCAUAAAGUACGUCGUAGUCCGGAUUGGAGU